UGGCUCUCGCAUCGAUGAAGAACGCAGCGAAAUGCGAUAAGUAAUGUGAAUUGCAGAAUUCAGUGAAUCAUCGAAUCUUUGAACGCACCUUGCGCUCCAUGGUAUUCCGUGGAGCAUGCCUGUUCGAGUGUCACGUCAAUACUCACCCUCGUGAUGUCAAAGUCACCCGCGGUGGACUUGGACCGUGCCGUAGUUGGCUCGUCCUGAAAUGCAUUAGCUUGCGCUUUUAGAGUGCUGGGCACCGGUGUGAUAAUUAUCUGCGCCAACGCCUCAGGCCUCUUCAGCGGCGCUGCUUACAGCCGUCCUGACGGACAAUUUAUUACAGCUUUGGCCUCGAAUCAGGUAGGACUACCCGCUGA
This 359-nucleotide unclassified non-coding RNA is filed under the name uncultured fungus. RNAcentral's name for it is "partial contains 5.8S ribosomal RNA and internal transcribed spacer 2". The stretch from base 1 to 133 matches the Rfam family "5.8S ribosomal RNA", at positions 22 to 154 of the family's 154-position model. The record is from RNAcentral. Lineage: Eukaryota; Fungi.